AUUUUACUGUAGGUGUGUGGCAGCUCAGACGCAUCUGGGAAAGAUUUGCGGAAAGCAGCCAACAUCGCAUCGAAUGAUUUGUUGGGCAUCCGCUCAGAUGUCUUCACCUGAAGAAAGGUGACCAUAGCUGAGAAUACUGACAGCUUAUUUCCUGGGGUGACAGCAACGUUGCAUUGUUCCAACAUGCGGGCCCACCGUUUUUCUUCUGCAGGUGAAAGUUCACGGAAUGCACGAGCAUUUCGUAGCAUUGUUUCAAUGUUGGUCAAACUCACUGGCUCCGCCACCACCACCACCUCCUCCUCUUCCACCUAAGCAUCAGGCAGAUCAAGAUGGUGAUCUGCUGCUUCCACGUAGUCAAUAACAUUGACGUUCACAGCUUCACCAUGAUGAACCCACCUAGUAUAUGUGACCGACAUCCCAUGCAAGUGUAGAUGAUUUUGCACAGUUGACUGGGGUCUUGUAACUGAAUUCAUAUAACUGCUACACGGGCAGAGCACAUCUGAUUUCGGACCACCGUACUCAGCUCUGAUAAAGUUCAUGAAGUUUUCAACCCCCUCGACAUAUGCAGCGGAGAAUCUUCGAGCAGAAGUUAUCCAAGUCCUGUCCAUCUGUUAGACAUAUAAAUUAGUUCUUCUACUAGAUAUUACAGGAAAAACAUAUAUGCUUUUUUAUGAAGUCCAGAAAAAAAAUACCUAGGUCGAUGUCUAAAGCUAUGGCAAGAUAUUUGGACGAGCAGAUCUAAGUAACGAAAUAUAUGUAAAGCUAAUUCAGCAAACAGAUUUGAGUGCCAAAUUAUGGCAGGCUAUUUCAGCAGUCAAUGAGGCCGAGCACACAGCCAUCGAACUAUCGAAGGCCAUCGCAGCAACAAAGAUCGAGUAUAAAACGGUGUAGAGCUAUUUCACCUAACAGAUUGGCUACUAGACCAUGGCAAUCUACGUCACAAUAAAUAUAUGGCAGGAUAUUUUAGCAACUAAUCGGCCUUGGCAUGCCAUCUCAGCUAAGAAGAUUGAGUGCAGAAUAGGGCAAGGAAGCUUCUUAAGCAAAGCAUAUUGACAGUAAACUACUUCGGCAAACAGUGAGAUUAACAGCGUCUAUCAGCUAACAUUCAGCGCUACACCGACAUGAACGGGGCCUCGGUCUAGAAUGCGCGUACGUGGGAGACGCUGACCGCCGUGCCUCUCCACACAAACGUCGCCAGCGGUGGCGGCGCUGACCGCCGUGCGCCUCCACAAGAACGUAGCCAGAGGUGGCGGCGCGGCUAGAGGACAGCAGUCUACGAGAGCGUACUGUGGGAGCGAGAGGAUCGCCGAACCGCGGCGCCGACGUAUCGGUGCGGCGGGGAGGGCGGCUUUGGCGGAGCGAAUGGAGUGGAGGGGACAGGGGGGAGGGGGUUUGGGGAAUACUAUUGGCUAGUUGGCCGAAGGGCAGUUGAAUCGGAUUUGGGGCGAAUUUUUGGGUGUGGGGGGGAGGAUUUUCGCGCGGUGGGCGGGGGGAGUUUGGCGCAUGGUCGGUUUCUCCAAGUGCAGUCCCACGUGUCAGUGAAGAGGCAAGCCGAAGCGCGUUCCGUUUGUGUGAGCCGUGUGCAGGACCGAACGUGUGUGGGGUGCAAUGCGACCGCGACAGAAGUGUUGUGAGUGUACCGCCUUUUUUCCUUUUAAACUAGGUGCUUCGCCCCCUCAAAAAAAAUUGUUGCUUCGCGCGAUCCAUCGAUACUACUACUAGUAAUCCGGUAAUCCCGACUAAAACGGCGCGGCCGGGUCUUUUCCCGCGCGAUAUGGUGGGAGGUUGGCUUAGUUGGGUUUUUUAGGACGAGUAAUGUUACACCUACGUAAUCCCAGUUACGUAAUUAACGUAAUGUGAAACAUGUGAGCUGUUGAUUGUAGUUUGGGGGGAGGGAGGGGCCCACCACCAUGAAAAUCAGGGGAGGAGAGAGAGAGGCAAUUUACGUUAACCCUUUCGUAGGUUCCCGUAGAUGUAGAAAGAUGUGAAAUGCGUGAAUGUGUAGUGGACGUACUAUUGGAGUGCCUAAGAUAAUUUGUGUAUGUAUAGACCCUAUGUGUUUAUUUUACUUCACAUGUUAGAUUUGUCUCGGUUCAAUACAAAGCAGAGUUGGUGAUGAUGGUGUGCCUGUCAUCCUGCAAUAUAGGCCGUCCGAUCUAUAUCUAACAGAUAGGAAGGAAACUAUGACAAUUUACCCGCACUCCUCUCCACAUUUGCAGAUAAGGCUUUCCCUCGUUCAUCCUUUUCUCCCACAAGAUCUUGAUCUUCCGUGCAACGCACGGGCAUCUUGCUAGUACUCCUACAAUAUGUAUAUUAUUGUGAAAUUUCAUAUACACCGGCCGAGAUUAAUGCAAACACGGCAGAUUUUCAUUACAUUUCGAACUUUUAUAGGACAGCAAAAUAAAAGAAACCCGACCCUAAACCUAUUCUACGGCGGCGAUCGACAUCCUCCAUCUGCGAUCUCUAUGUACGGGGGCGGGGUUCAAGACCCGUGAAGUGAAGGUGCGGUCUCCGGCGAGGAAGAGUAGAACACGGGAUACGGACCGGCCAGUUGGCACACCAUGCCCUGCCGCCUCCCAUGCCCUACUCAUCCUCGGAGGAGUCCCCGACCUCGGUAGUGCCGGACGUUGGACGGCGGCAAGUAGGACGCGUGGCUGACGGUGCUCCCGUCGUCGGCCGCCAGCGUGGCCACCGCUUGUGCGGUCGCGUCCGCGUCCGGCUACACCGCUAUUGCGUCGCGAGAGGCGACUUGAGCGAGGGCGGCGACCUCGAGCUUCAUCCCCGAAGACAAGCUCUCCCGCAGAGCGUUCACACUUGCGGUCAUGGCGGAUGUGGUGCCAGGUAGGAGGACGAUGCGCUAUGGUGUGGAGGUUAGCUGGGCGUUGCCGCUUUAAGUAGCGCAUUCCGGUGAGGCCAAGCGUCCGGGUGCGUCAUUAAGUUGCCAGAGUUGGUUCCUCGGGCAUCGAGCCUCUUAACGACGACAUACGAACGGACGGCAUGAAUGCGGGCAGCUGGCGCCGGCUGGGAACACACCGCGCGAUGGCGCGAGGAACGAGGGUUUUGGUGUGCUAGGGUAGUCAGCUGCGGUCGUGGCAACGUUGGAGAUGCCCUUUGCUCACAUGCGAUCCCCGCAUGUCAUUGAAAAAGCAAGACGACCCGGCAUGGUCUCAGGUCCAGAGGAUGCAGUUGGCCGCGCUACACCACUCCGGGGACGCGUCGCGGCGCCCCGUGCAUCCUCGACGAGCCGGGUGUUGGGGUGUGUUUGGAUUGUGGCCAAAGUGCACCUUACCAAAAUUUUGGUCAUGACCCAAAGAUUGGUCUUUGUUUGGAUGGUUGCCAUUUUUUUGGCAUGCCAAUGAACUCUAGCCAACUCUAGUUCAUUUUUCUUGCCAAUGUCGGCCAAAUCAUGGGCAACCAAUACCUCAACCAAAAUUUUGGUCAUGACCCAAAGAUUGGUCUUUGUUUGGAUGGUUGCCAUUUCUUUGGCAUGCCAAUGAACUCUAGCCAACUCUAGUUCAUUUUUCUUGCCAAUGUCGGCCAAAUCAUGGGCAACCAAUACCUCAACCAAAAUUUUGGCUACCCAAUGCUUUGAUGGGGCAACCUUGGGCACAAACCAAACAUACCGUUGGUCGUGCCACAGCACUAACGCCACCCUCGGCACACUGAAAUCGACCGUGUCUAGCGACGAUAUGAGCGUGUUGCUCACCGCGGUCGCCGUGUCCAGAGGCGGUGCUGGAGCUGCGCCCCGUUGUUGGCCCCAACGACCCACAUGUACGGUUGUCGGUGGCGAGGAGGUCGUGGGCUAGCUCCUCCAUUGGACUAGUCUGCGCUAUGUCGUCCCGACGGGUGUGCCCCACAUGUCGGUUUCCCUGUUUUCCCGGCCAUAUUCGAGCAUCAGUGCUCCGCGUUGCGCAUUAGACCUUUCACUAUGUAGGCCAAGCGAGACAACUUAUUGUUUAUUUGAGCCGUUCAAGUAUAAUCAUGUGGCGUUUGCUUAUUUCUCAUUCCUCUCCAACCCUCUUCUCCAUCGAUCAUGUCGCCCUCCAGUCGAGUCCAUCCUCCCACAUGCCUCAUUUGAACAUUCCGCCGAGUAUCAUUCGCAUGUACCCACCCUAGUCCUCUUUCAAUAGAUCUCCAGACCCCGAGAUGAAAUCAAGAGGGAACGAGUGGGGGCACGUGAUACCUAAGGCGGAUUCAAAAUUUUGAACCGGUGAUCAUAGCAUCUGCAAAUCAUAUAUAAAGGGUAUUCAAUGUUCGUUUCGUUUUUUAACGUACAAUAUACUCCCCCAAUCCAUUCUAGUUUACAUAAGUUUUAUGUGUAGUCAAAGUAUCUCUACUUUGAUAAAAAAAAGGUAUCAACAUUCAACAACGCCCAAUCAAUAUUGUUAGAUUCGUACGUACUCCUUGAUUUGUACUCGAGAUGGUUUCCAAUUUGACUAUUGACAAGAUUAAUAGUACAUGAGAUGUAUAAUGUGAAAAUUAUAUCAUUGGAAACUCCUUUCACAUACGAAUUUGACUGUAUGCUUUGUGUAAGUUGCAUGUCAUAUAUUAUUACUCUAACAUUUGGUCAAAGUUAGCCUCGAAAAACGCAUUAGACCCUGUAUGCUUUGUGUAAGUUGCAUGUCAUAUAUUAUUACUCUAACAUUUCUGUAAGUUGCAUGUCAUAUAUUAUUACUCUAACAUUUGGUCAAAGUAGUAUAGUGGAAGUGGAUCCUCUGACGUAGGUAUCCCUGCCUUACCCUCCCUUUCGGUCACUUACUGGCGGACCCCAUGCUUGCUAGGCCCCGCAUGUCAGUUACUCAAUGGGUUCGGCCACGUCAGGGGAUCCUCAUCCGUAGUAUACUCCCUCUGUUUUUAUUUACUCCGCAUAAAACGGAGGGAGUGGUGGUAUAAUAAAUGACGCGGGCGGGGGAGGGGGAGGGACGUCGGUUUGCUCUCAACUGCGGUCCCACAAGCGAGCGAAAACGCAAGACGAAGCGUGUUCCAUUCGGUGAGCGACGUGGAGGGUCCAGCGUGCCGGGCUGCAACGCGAACGCGACAAGAGCGAUGUACAGUCAAAACCUAUUGACCGAUCGUCACCGGAACCACUAUUCACACCAGAACCUUUGCUGCUCGGCCUACGCUAGCCACUGCCCUAAAACCACACCAAAUCUCCAGCCCAUUCCCCCACCUUUCGAUCCCCUAGCCCGCAUCAAGCAUCCCGUAGUUCACCGGAAAGCCAUGGUGCGCCGCAAGAUCACUUACUACAAGAUGCUGACGCCGGAGCGCCGCGCAGAAAUCACGGUGGCGGUCGGCGCCACAGACCUCCAUUCCCAAGCUCGCUUUGCGGCGGGCCAAUCCCCGAGUUCUCUAGAGCCAAGCUACGAGGAGGAGGAAGCCGAUCCAAUGUUCAUGGCGGAGGUCGCGGCACAGAAGGCCCCCGACGGGUAUGAGACGAUGGACGUCGACUUCGUGCCGGCGUCCGAGUCCCCCAUGGUGCAGGCGGACCAGCGGUUCAACAUGGCGAUACUAAAGGAGGACCGGGAGGCAGAGGCUCAACUCGACGCGGAGCGCGCGCAUGACGCUACCAUCGAGGCUCUCUUGCAGGCGGAACCGGAUGUCGUGGAUGUGAACCGGGCGGCGGAGGCUCAACUUGAGGCGGAGCGCACGGAUGCCGCUGCCAUUGAGGCCCUCCUGCAGGCAGAGUCGGACGUCCUGGACUUGAACCGGGCGGCAGAGGCUCGACUCGACGCAGAGCGCGUGGAUGCCGCUCUCAUCGACGCCCUCCUGCAGGCGGAACCGGACGUCCUGGACUUGAACCGGGCGGCGGAGGCUCGACUCGACGCGGAGCGCGUGGAUGCCGCUGCCAUCGAGGCCCUCCUGCAGGCGGAACCGGACGUCCUCGACUUGAACCGGGCUGUGCUCUCGUUCGUGUAGAGCGCCCGCACGCUCCGCUUGAACGAGUAGCUAGAGGCCGAGGACAACCACGGUGCGGAGACACACGUCGGCAGCGACGGCUAGUUCGCGCCGGCAGCCAAAGACGACGAGGCCGUCUCUUUCCCCGAGCAGUGAUAGUUUUUCUUUAUGUUGUUGUUUUUAUGGAUCUUUUGCUGUGUAAAAACAUAUAUUUGUUAUGCAAGUCGCCUGACUUGGGUCAGUCUACCAUUUCAGGCGGUUGGAUGAAUAUCCUACGUCUCCUAACCCUUCUUUCCUUCUUCCUCACCUCUUCUUCUUCCCCAACAGACCACCGCACGGGACGUACGGAUACUCCCCAACAUGCGGUUGGAUAAACAUACUCUAUCAACGAAAAUUAUGUGUCAGCGAUAGGAUGGCUGAGUUUCGUUUGUUCACAUGCGACAGCACGUGUCAGUGAGGGUGCGUUCCCUUGGUUGGGUUUGCGGCGUGCAGGAGCGACUGUGUGAGGGUGCGGUGCGACCGCGGUGUGCAGGAGCGACCGUGUGAGGGUGCGGUGCGACCGCGACAGUCGUGCGCAAGUGUACCUCCUUUGCGUCACCUUGUGUCCAGAUCUGAGAUGCCACGUGUACCAGAUGAAUGACUCCAAGUUCGACCACCGUGAUGCAAGGUGCGAGCCAAGGAACACUGUUGGAGAGACCCCUCUCAUAAUUUUCCUACAUUGGUCGUUUGAUUCAUAGGAUAGAAUGCUAUAGGAUUUUUUCCCUAUGUAAUCAUGUUUUAAUUGGCAAUCUAGCAUCCACUCCAACUUUUGUUUCACUUCCUUUGUUCCUACGAAGAGAGUACUUGCUCUAAAUGAUGUGCCGCUGCAAGAGCCGCCUAUAUUAAUUAACCAUGCUCUAAAAAGGUGGACCAACUUUGGCUAUAGUAGUACUGUACUCGGUUAGUAGGUGACCUUGCGCUUGGCACUUCUCCUCUUCCGAAAGUCAAACAAUAAUUAUGGUACUACACUAAUACUUUUGGCAAUCUGACACCAAAUGAACUGUUGCACGUCCACCGCUUGUAAGCAAAAGUUUCUCCUCGUGCUGCGAGCCACCGUGCACGCAUUGGCGAGGGAGAAGGCGUAGUAAGCAAGCUUCUCGUCGUUCUGCGAGUUGACGGGACACAUCAAAGUUAUUUAUUAGUACUCUCUUCAAAAAGGGCCGACCAUGUCCAUGGCUACCAUCCCGUGCUCUGUCAUUGAGUACGUGCACUAUUCACGUGCCAUCGAGGAGAAAAAAUAUUGCGUAGUACUAGGUGCCAUCGAAGUGCACGACUCACUUACGCACUGCAUAUCUCCAUUUUCUUGCAUGACACGCCACCUUGAUGCUAGAUGUCCCGCGUGUCAUGGAGGCAUAUAGUAUGAUUUUGUAAAAUGGAGGCAUAUAGAUGUCCCGUGUGUCGGCAACAGGAUGAACAAAGCUCAUGUCUUAAACGAAAGAGUGGAAGAACAUAGGUUCCCGACGGCCGAGAAGGAGCUACAAACCUCGGGGUGGAGCGUGUGCACUCAUAAUAUUUUAUAUUAUUCAGCGAUAUAAAAUCAACCAAAUCUCUCCACGUUCCUAUACCAUUCUAUAGAAUGAGAAUAACUUUGAACGUAAGCCAUUGAUCCACUCUGUCCAAUGGUCAUAGUUGGAAAAUCCAAACAAAACCAAGCAUUGGAUCAACUCUUUUUUCUAGAUCAACUCUUUUAGCACUUAGAUUGUUGCCGCCUGCCCACCUAGCCCACCUGUAUAUCCGCUCACGUGUGAUGACCACAGGAGCUAUCCACUCAGAUUGUAUGUUAAAAUAUAAAGGUCGAUAACUAAUGCGGCAGGAAGUCUUAUUUGCAUCCAGGAAGUCCUUUACUAGUACUACUAGGAGUACUAGUGCGGUGAGAUGGUUUCUCGAAGAAGACGAUGGAGAAGCGGAGUCAGCGAAGAGUGAAAUGAUGGUUGCUUCGUCCGUGCUUUUGUGAUUUGACGCCUCACUGCUUUGUGAUUUGUGAUAGAAGGGACAGGGGAGUAGACUCUGUGCUCUAUACUGUACUACAUGCGUCCAAGCAUGGGAGAAAGAGGAGAGACGUUGCAUUUUUCUAUUCCUUCAAUCAAUCAAUCAGGGAGCUUCGGUUCCAUCUUUUUGGCUUUGGCAACACUGUCCACAAUGGUUCCCACGAUGCCAAAAGCUAUUUUCACAUUUGGCUACACAUUGUGGAUGCCCUUAACCAUACCACUUGGUUUUGCUCCUGUGUGCUAUCUAUACAAAUCUCAAUUAUAUUGAUCUAAAAAAUUAUAGAAUCAAGAUUAGUAAAAAGGAGGUGAUUUUGCCGCGCGGAUGGCGGGGGAGGUUUCUUAUUUGAGCAAUGCUACAUCCACGUAAUGGUUUACGUAAAGUUACGAACUGAUGUGAUGUGGGACUAUUUGAUUGGAUUAAAGGAGAGGAUUAGGCCCACCCCACCUGAAAAUCAGGGGGGUAUAUAGAUUAGAUGGAAAGUAUACGUAGCCCUUUGUAAGUCUAGGAUUAGGCUUCUUAUUUUCGGAGGACGUUGUCCUGGCGGUUUGCUAACAUGCGGUCCCACGUGUCAGUGCUUUACCAAGCCGAUCCGCGUCCCACAUGAGGUAGAACAACGGCAGAAGCAACACGUGGUUAAGUUGAAGAAGAUGAGGGAGAAGCGAAUUCAGCAACGAGUGAAAUGAUGGUUGCUUCGUCCCUCCAACUUAACAGCGGGAAAGGUGCAGCUUUGUGAUUUGACGCCUCAUUGCUCAUUACUACGCCGGCGCCAUGACUGGGGUGCUUCACCCCGGCUGCUCUACACUGUAUUCCGGUAUGGCACGUGGACCCGGUAGCUUGAUGUCCCACAUGUCGGCGAAAGGGACUAGAAGAAUUAUGAAAGCGAGCGCUCCACUCUUACGACGGAGGAGUAGACGACACGACGGCCCAGUGAACUGUCACUUGUACUGUAUAGUACUAUAGUUUUGUUGUUUCGCACGAUCCAUCGAUACAAACCCGAUUAAACAGGAAAGGGCGGGAUUUUUCCCGCGCGGUAGAUGAUACUGGCCAUACAUUUCAAAGGCAAUUUUAAUGUAUGCAAACUGAAUAAUUAUAAGUAACAAUAUGAUAUCUAGUAAAACUAAAAACACAUAUGAUUUAUUGUGUUAGAGUGUAGUAGUAGUGUUGUAUUGCAUAGUUGUUAGAUGUAACAUGCGAUAACGUGUAGAGAUGUAGUUUUGGAGGGCCUACAGAGAGAAAAGCGUAAUACGGUCACCGAACUUCAGAAUAAGCUGAUUAUGGUCACUAUAUACGUUUUGCGGUGAUUAUACGGUCACUUGCUCACAGUUCAACAUCGGAUUGCACUCUGUUGACCGGCCAAAUAGUCUGCGUGGUGCCAUGUUGACUAGCUAAAUUGACCACAUUCCUUGUGGGUCCCACCUGUCAGUUUGCAUAGGCAAAAGGUCAGAUAAACACAAAUUUACGCAGGUGCGACAAGGCUCCAACCCGUGCAUGGGAAUCACCUAGUUGUGUAUGUGUCUGUCAGGGCCUGAUGUGUGCGCAUGCACGUGUAGGUUGAGCACUUGAGCGUGAGAGUGUGUGUUGGUCGUGUGGUGUACUGGUCUGUGCAUGCAUGCGUGCGUGUGUGCGUGUGAGUGUUGCGUGCGUGCGUGUGAGUGUUGUGUGCGUGCGUGGUUGCGUGUGUACGUGUGAGUGUUGCGUGCGUGGGUGCAUGUGUUUGUGUGAGUGUUGCGUGGAUGCAGUUCGUGUGCAUGCAUGCGUGUGUGUAUAAUCACCACACCAGCUCAUGUGUGUUAAAACAGACGGCUCAGCAUACCAAUACAAGGUCACCUUGUCCGCUGUGCCCGCGGUCAUGACUUCGAACCACCAUCCAAAUAUUUUUUUUGUCGUUUGUUUUCAUUCUUACUAGCAAGAUGCCGUGCGUUGCACGUAACAUCAAGAUGCUUUUGUAUGACUUGUUUAUCUUGUGAGAGAAAAGGAUGAACGAGGGAAGGCCUUAUUUGCAAAUGCGGAGAGGUGUGUGGGUACCUUUUUGCAAAAUUGCCAUAGUUUCUUUCCUAUCCGUCAGAUAUAAAUCGGACGGCCUAUAUUGCAGGAUGGCAGGCACACCAUCGUCACCAACUCUGUUUUUUAUAAGAGUGUAUUUUAUGUAUUUUAUAAGAGUGUAGAUGUAGAGUAUAUACAAGUCGACAGGUGCGCACGGUGGUAGUGAGAUAAUGUGAUGCAACACUAGAGGUGCCACGUGGAGCGUUUAACUGGUCAACUAGUCAUGUCAUGAGCAAAUACAGAGUUGUACGGUGAGCCCGUGACUGUAUAAUAACCACUAAACAUAAAUGGUGACCGUAAUGAGUGGAUUCUGAAGUCCAAUGUACGUAUCGUGCUUUCGCUUCAAAUACAAUGGUCGUCAUUGCAUAUAUCGCGAGAGAAAGAUGAAACAUGCGUGAAUUUUCUGGGGCUUACUUUUAGAGGACCUGGAGAUAGUUUUGUGUGCAUACGUGAAAGGGGCGUACAGGGGGGGUAUGCGAUGGAGAGAGAGAUGCUCUUUGUUUCUCUUUAAUAUGACUAAUUUUGUAGAGUAUAAAAUAUACAAAUUCACAGUGCGGAAUAAAUAUCAUUGUGGGCACCAUGCAAUGCAAAUUAGCGUUCGUACUCCUCCAUAUAACUUUGUAAUGUUGUAUAUAUGUAGAAACACUAAAAUAAUUUUUUGGCCACACUUUAUUCAAAAGGAAUGUUGUAUGCGAAAUAAACGUGAAGAGAGGGCUUUUUAGAUCAAUGGGGUACGUGAUGUAACAUGUGUGAAUGUGUAGUUGAUGCAUUUGGCGGGGCCUAGAGAGGUAUGUGUGUGUAUUACGUAUUCGAGAGAGGCAUGGAUAGAGGGGCCGAUGGGGGGCGUGGGAGAGAUAGCACGAGAAAUGAGAGUGGUCUAGAGAGAGAGACGAAUAUGACAUCACGACAAGAGAUUCCAUUCCCUUGAGUGUGUAUAUGCAAGGGGGGAGGGAAUAGAGGCACCAGGAGAAAUUUUCUGUGUGUGUGGUGUUUGUGUUGGUAUGUGUGGGUGUGAGAAGAUAAUGAGACGUGGGGGCAGAGGGUGUGUCACCGCGUGAGGUCCGGUGGGUCGAGGUGAGGCCCUUCGUUCGGUUCCAUCCUGCGCCACAUUGGUCGGCCCGUGACGCAUUUAGGAAGACCCAUGGAUGACUAGUCGUACAAGACAAAGCUAGCAGAAUUGUGAAGGACUCCGUGUCCACUGACAAAGCCGGCUAGGAUUUGUAACCCUAGGUUCUCGGACUAAGGUAACCCCUUUAUCUAUGAUAUUACUAUUCAUCCAACCUAACUUUAAGGGGCAUCCUACAGAAUGCUCUGCUAGAAUCAUACUCGUCGAUUAGGAAGAGAGGUGUGAGACAAUGCGUGAGAGACAGGCGUAAAGAUAAUGUGCGUACAUGAGACACGUAGGCAGGUCCAUGUAUAUAGAAAGGGUCGAUGAGGAUUGUGCGUGUGUAUGUUUGCGAGAGGAAGACUGCUUGUGAUAAAGGUUAGUGAAAACAGUUGUAAAUGGUUACGAGAGGGAGGGAGGGUUAUAUCUAGGGCAUGUGUGCGAGAAAGACACCUCGGGAGAGAGUGUGUGAGCAUGUGUGAGAGACCACCGAUGGAGAGUGAAACUACACGUAAAAGACUGCUCUACACAUUGAUUAAAGAUAUAAAUUGUAUCCAAAUAUUAGGAUGGGAUCAUGAUAUUUGCAAUUCGCGUAAGGAGCGGUCAUUGAUCCAUCAGACAUCUAGAUUCUAUCGAAUUUGAGCAUGUCUAUGUUAUUAUUCGACACAAUUGAUCCACAUAGUUAGUAUUUUGAACUCCAGACAAUGCAUCGCUUUAGCAAUCGAAUAUAAACGUGAGUAUAGUUCAUGUUGUGUGUGUAAAGCACAUUAUACAUACGAAAGUUACACAAUGGACAUUAUAAAUAGCUACCUAUGAACUAGCAUACAUUUGAAUUCAACUUAAGGUGGUUUAAAAAAAUCGAAUUCAACAUGAAGUCCAUUCAAUUAUUUGAAUUUGAUAUCAUGGCAUUUGUAAACCAUACCUAAAUUAUGGGGGCACCAAUCGUUGCUCUGAUUUUGUACAUAAUAGCAUAUGUAGUCGUGUACAAAAUAGAUUCAAAUUUAGCUCCUCCAUUCCAAAAUAAUCGUAGUUAUAGGAUUUUCAAGUGUCAAAUUUUCAAAAAGAAGCGGAUAAUUUAAUGAGGUUUUCAAACAUACAAGGUCAAAUAUAACGUUGUCUAUUUAGGUCAAUCCUCAUAGUUCAAGAGUACUCUAAACGUGAAUGCUUGUGUUUCAAAAUUUUGAACGAAGCGCCAAAAGAGCCUCUACUCGCCUGAAACCGCGUGAGACCAAUGUUUGGUAGUACAAGGAAAUUACUUUUCUAAUAAGUCCGACCCGUGAAACCUAUCGGCCCGACGUCCAAAGGUCUAAACCGGGGUAGGUUUGUAGCUUCAUCUAGACGCCACGCAACCGCAUCCGAAAAACAUUCAUACACAAUGGCCGCCUAAGCACACAUGCGCACGGCCGAAAUCGCUCCCGCCCACUAUUUGGGACACCUGGGAUUACCAUCCUACCCCCGACCCGCAGUAGGUCCGAAAUUUAAGAGGGGGGCAAAGUUUGUACUUUCCCCAAAAUUCAAACAAGCGCGUCCCAUCUUCUGUUCAAAAAAGCCAAAAACAAGCGCGUCCCAGACCGAAACAUGGUUCCCCCCCACCCGUCCGAUUCCCCAUUCAUACUCCGUGGGCGCCAAAACUACCUCUCCACCAGCCGCGAAACACCGGCGUCCUCCGUCCGCCACCCCAUCCCACCCAUCAACCGCCGCCCUCCUCCAUUACGCCGGAGCCGAUACCCCGACGUCGUCGUCCACCGCAACCUCAACCGCAACGCCCUCCACGGCUAGUAGUUGAAGCCGAGGCUGAGCCGUCCGUACCCGAGCCAGUCAACCACGCCGUCCUGCACCUCACCGCUGCCGCUCCAACUUCGCCACCCUCCACCACACUGGAGCUGUUCCUGCUACGCCGUCCUUCGCUGCCUCGGAUCUGCUUCCCCUCCGCCGACAUACGGCCACGGCAACACAGUCAACAAUUUGGCCAUGGGUUCGUCCAAGCCUGCACCCUCCAGAACAUCAGUUUCCCCGGUAAAAAGAAGAAGAUCGGCGCGACAUGUGGAGGUGACCACACCGGCAACCGAAAAUGGUACUCCUCUUCCCUUAUUCGUGCAAAUCUUACGUCUCUGCUUGCACGGUAUUCAUCCCACAGAAGACACUAGUUGACCGCUUCUUCUUGAUACUAGAUGUUCCUAGUAACUCGUGAUGCACAAGGUUUCUCCUCAUAUACUAUUUCACCUUAGCUAGAGGUCCGUCGCCCCCCUGAAUUUCAAUUUCUGGCCAGUUGAUUCCCAAUUAACGGAAGCAUUCCCCGGUGUAACAGGCGCUAGUACGCCUAUUACGCCGGGGAAGCAGCGCCUUGGUGUUUAUCUUAGGGGCGUGUGCGGCCUAGAGCUACUGGCGCCCGAUCUGGAGGUCGGCCGGGAUUAAAGGGAUGGCCUGGGGGUGCUGCCAAGCACGGCGGUGGUGUGAGGUCGAUGGGAGGGCGGGGCGGCGGAGGCAGGGGUCUGGGCCGGUGGUCACUGGCGGUUCGAGAAAGAUCGUCAACAGUGACUGGCGGGAGGUAGACGAAGGCCAUCUGCCCGUUCCUUAUAGAUCGGACGGUUCAUUAAAAAAUCAACUGACCUAUUUAUUUUCAGUCGACUGUUAUCUUAGAUAUGACCACAUGUGGUGGUGUGCUGGAGGAGUACCUGCAUUUCCUGUGCUCAUAUAUUACAAAAUCAUACGGAGUAGAAUCUAAUUUUGUUUGUCAUGCAAUGUUGUAGAGCUAUCAUAUGUCUCUUGUCAUUUAUUUUUCAGCCACCUGCUAUCUGCUACUUUUACAGUGCACUAGUUCUGCACACACUUCACCCUUACUCUCACUAUUGUGUUUUUAUGCAAGGGUAUUUCAGACUCUGCUGCCAUGAGAGAAGCCAAAAAGAAAAGAGAGAAGUCGCUCCAGCUUCGUAUGCGGGUAGGCAAGACACGUUACAACGCUAUAAAGGGUGCAGUGUCAGCAGAUGGAGACGGUAAACGUAGCUCUGGAGUUGAUGACCUCGCUCGCAAUGAACCACCAUCCCAGGUGCUUGCUUUAACUUCACGGUGUCAUAUGUGGUUGCAUGUUCCAUAUGGUGUCUAGCUUGUAUUCGAAAGGCCGAAGUCGGUAAGAUAAGGAAAGAUAUUUUUUACAUGAACCACCAUCCCGUGAGCACCAGAAGACAAAUAGCUAGUCAGGGCAUUGGCCGAGCCAGUGACAAGCCCAGCAAAGAUAGGCAUCACCUGGAAGCCAACUAAAAAGCUGCGAUGGUGGCGAAGCAGCCCACCUCCCACCAGGCUCUCAGGUCCUAGAUGAUCAUGCUCACCACUCCAGCCGGAUGUCUAGCUUGUAUUGCUUCCAAUUUGGUUAAAUUGCAUCUGCUUAGCUUACACAUUAUACCUUUGAAUAUGACAUGCCUUUCUAUUUUUGGUACAUACUAGUACAUCUGUGUAUUAACCAUGUUCUUACAUCAAACUAAUGUUUUUGUGUAUCCCUCAUCAAUCACUUAUGACGAGGCAGGUAGGCAAGGGGACUACUCCUCAUUUAAAGAAUGCAGCGUCAGCCUCCUGACAUGAUUCUCAAGAAACAGAAAUGCUAGAUGAAGAUAGUGAACGUAGCUCUGUAGUUGAUUACAGCAUUUCCCCUACACUAGCAUCGCAGGUGUUUGCUCUAACUUGGCAGCGUGAUAUGUGGUUGCAUGUUGCAUAUGGUGUCUAGAUUGUAAUUCUUCCAAUCUGGUUAAACUACAUGUGCUAGUCUGCUUAGCUUAUACAUUAUACCUGUUAAUGUGACAUGCCUUCCUGUAUUUAGUACAUAGUACAUCUGUCUAUUAAGCAUGUCCUUACAUAAAACUAUUUUUUUUGUAUCCCGCAUCAAUCAACAUGACGAGACACCUUUAGUAUAUGCAGUGCGAUAUUAGUUGCAUCUUUCAUAUGAUUUAUAGCAUGCGCUGCUUCUAAUUUGUUGAAAUUCCAUUUAUGAUGGGACACUUUUAACUUGGCAGAGUCAUAUUGGUUGCAUCUUUCAUGUGGUGUCUAGCUUGCAUUGCUUCUUAUUUGCUGGAAUGGUUUCUGCUUAGUUUACACAAACAGUUGUGAACAUGUCAUGCCGUCCUGUUUUUCGUACAUAUUCCAUCCUGGUAUCAUGUGUUUGCCUUACAUCAAAGUAGUGAUUGUCAGUAUCAUGCAUGAAUGAGUUCUGAAGAGAGAAUUUUAUUGCUUUUUCUUGUCGGUUUUACUUGACAAUUCAAAAUCAAUAAAGCGGAAGGAAGUUAGCAAGGCAGCGGAUAAAGGUGCUCCUUCCGAACGGAGGGCCUCUACAGUUUCUACUCCUCCACACCCCCAAGAUGAUUUCCAAGACAACACAUGCAUAGACACUCAACAAAGCUGUGUUUAUGAUGAGCACGUCUCCCCUAGUGCAGCAUCACCGGUGCUCCCUCUAACUUGGCACUGUUAUAUGUGGUUGCAUGUUAUGUGUGAUGUCUAGCUUGUAUUGCUUCUAAUUUUGUUGAAUUCCAUCUGCUUACUUUACACAUUAUACUUGAAUAAGACACGUGUUCCUAUUUCUAGAACAUACAAUAUCUGUCUAUCACACCAUGUUCUUACAUCAAAUUACCACUGUUGUGUAACCUGCAACAAUCACUUAUUAUAAGACACGUUUGACUUUGGAUGUGAUAUAGGUUACAUCUCACAUUCUUUUCUAGCUUGUACUACUAAUUUGUUGAAAUGGCACUUAUGACGAGACAGUUUUAACUUGGUAGAGUGAUAUUCGUUGCAUCUUUCAUAUGGUGUCUAGCUUUCAUUGCUUCUAAUUUGUUGAAAUGCCUUCUCCUUAGUUUACACAUCAUAAGCUGUGAAUAUGCAAUGCUGUGAAUAUGCAAUGGCACUAAUGACGAGAGACCUCUAACAUGGUAGUGUGAUGUUGUUUGCAUCUUCCAUAUGAUUUAUUUCUUGUACUGCUUCACAUUUGUUUAAACGCCAUUUGUGACGCCCCCGGUUCAAUCGUACACUAAUCAUGCACGCAAACGUGUACGAUCAAGAUCAGGGACUCACGGGAAGAUAUCACAACACAACUCUAAAACAUAAAUAAGUCAUACAAGCAUCAUAAUACAAGCCAGGGGCCUCGAGGGCUCGAAUACAAGUGCUCGAUCAUAGACGAGUCAGCGGAAGCAACAAUAUCUGAGUACAGACAUAAGUUAAACAAGUCUGCCUUAAGAAGGCUAGCACAAACUGGGAUACAGAUCGAAAGAGGCGCAUGCCUCCUGCCUGGGAUCCUCCUAAACUACUCCUGGUCGUCGUCAGCGGCCUGAACGUAGUAGUAGGCACCUCCGGUGUAGUAGGAGUCAUCGUCGACGGUGGCGUCUGGCUCCUGGGCUCCGGCAUCUGGUUGCGACAACCAGGUAGAAGGGAAAGGGGGAAAAGAGGAGAAAGGCAACCGUGAGUACUCAUCCAAAGUACUCGCAAGCAAGGAGCUACACUACAUAUGCAUGGGUAUAUGUGUAAAGGGCCAUAUCGGUGGACUGAACUGCAGAAUGCCAGAAUAAGAGGGGGAUAGGUAAUCCUGUCGAAGACUACGCUUCUGGCCACCUCCAUCUUUCAGCAUGUAGAAGAGAGUAGAUGGUAAGUUCACCAAGUAGCAUCGUAUAGCAUAAUCCUACCCGGCGAUCCCCUCGUCGUCGCCCUGUUAGAGAGCGAUCACCGGGUUAUAUCUGGCACCUGGAAGGGUGUGUUUUAUUAAGUAUCCGGUUCUAGUUGCCAUAAGGUCAAGGUACAACUCCGGGUCGUCCUUUUACCAAGGGACACGGCUAUUCGAAUAGAUAAACUUAACUGCAGGGGUGCACCACAUAACCCAACACGCUCGAUCCCAUUUGGCCGGACACACUUUCCUGGGUCAUGCCCGGCCUCGGAAGAUCAACACGUCGCAGCCCCGCCUAGGCUCAACAGAGAGGUCAGCACGCCGGUCUAAAUCCUAUGCGCGCAGGGGUCUGGGCCCAUCGCCCAUUGCACACCUACACGUUGCGUGCGCGGCCGGAAGCAAACCUAGCCCCCUUAAUACAAGCGCGAGCUUACGGUCCAAUGCGGCGCGCGCCACUCAGUCGCUGACGUCAAAAAGAGCUUCGGCUGAUAUCACGACGCCGAGUGCCCAUAACUGUUCCCGCAUAGUUGGUUAGUGCGUCUAGACCAAAUGGCCAGACUCAGAUCAAAUACCAAGAUCUCGUUAAGCGUGUUAAGUAUCCGCGAACGCCGACCAGGGCCGGGCCCACCUCUCUCCUAGGUGAUCUCAACCUGCCCUGUCGCUCCGCCACAAAGUAAUAGUCGGGGGCCGUCAGGAACCCAGGCCCACCUCUACCAGGAUGGAGCCACCUGUCCUUUCAACCCCCUCAUCAGAAUCACUUGCGGGUACUCAACGAGCUGGCCCGACUUUAGUCACCACAUGUGUCAUGUAUAUAAAGUAUAUAGUAUAUACCCGUGAUCACCUCCCGAAGUGAUCACGGCCCAGUAGUAUAGCAUGGCAGACGGACAAGAGUGUAGGGCCACUGAUGGAACACUACCAUCCUAUACUAAGCAGUAGGAUAGCAGGUAAGAGUAACAAUUGUAGCAACAAUGACAGGCUAUGCAUCAGUAUAGGAUUAACCGAAAGCAGUAACAUGCUACACUACUCUAAUGCAAGCAGUAUAGAGAAGGAAUAGGCGAUGUCUGGUGAUCAAGGGGGGCUUGCCUGGAAGCUCCGCUGAAAGGGAAGAAGGGUCGUCGGUGACGUAGUCGAUCACAGGGACAUCAACAGCGGUCUCGGGGUCUACCGGAGAGAAGAGGGGGAAGAAACAGUAAAUACAUAGCAAGCAAGAGCAUAACAGGACAACAGGCAGAGCUAGACGUGUUCUAACGCGGUGCUACACGAUACCGACGAAGGGGGAUAACAUCCAGGAAUGCUUUCCGAAAGUUUGGCAUUUUUGGACAGACGAACCGGAGGGGGACGGUUGCAGGUUCGCUAUGCUAGGGACGUGUGGUGGAUGAAUGGACCGCGUAUUCAGAUUCGGCUCGUCGUUCUGAGCAACUUUCAUGUACAAAGUAUUUUCGUCUGACCUACGGUUUAUUUUAUAUUAAUUUCCAAAGAUUUAGCCAUGUUCUGAAAUUAUUAAAUAACUAAUUCGAAAAAUAAACAUAAAAGAGCUGGGUGCACCCGGUGCAGUGCACCCAGCAGUGCACCAGGGGCUGACAGGUGGGUGAGGUGGCCCAGUUGACCCAGUCAACAAAGACUGGUCAAGAGAGUGAAUAGUGCAUGCGGGUCCCGCAUGUCAAUGUCGCAUGUGUUAUUAGUUUUAACAUCUUUUAGCUAGCAGCAGGGCCCGUAUUUAAUAGACACAUUAGGUUUCCUAGUUAAGCCUAAAUUAAAUUAAGUUAAUUAAGUAAGUAAUUAUUAUUUAUACAUUUUCUGUUCUCUUUUUUUUGGCGUGGGGCCCGUUCGACAGUGUCACAGAGGCCUUAGCGGGGCGGGCGCUGGUUGCGGGCGCCCGAAGGGACGAACCCAGGCGCGCGGGCGAAGGCCGCCGAGGUGCGGCGAGGCACCGGCCAGGGGAAGCGCGGGAGGCGCGGUGUGGAGGAGGCCCGCGGGCGGCAGUAGGUGGCGAGGAGCAGCAGGGCAAGGCCGCAGGCGCGGCCGGCAGCGGGCAGCAUCGCCGGUAGGGGCGGGCGCACGCAUGGGGCGCAGCCCAGGCGUAGCCGGUGCACGGACAAGCGGGGCCACGGGCGCAUGGGGGCGCGUCAACGGUCGCAACGACCGCGACGAGGGCGCACGACGACUGCGGCGUCGGUGAGAAGAACGUGCGGCGUGGACAACAGCCUAAGCCGGUGAAUCGAGGAGAGGGAAGAGGAGGACGGACGGCGGCUCACCCCCGUUGCAGGGGAACACCGGCGAGGCUCGGUGGAGCCGCGGUUGAGGAGGAGGUCGAGGACGGCGCGGGUGAUGAGGACGAGGCGGCGGGACAACAUCGGGGCGAGGUGGCCUCGGUGAUCCGGCGACAUCACGCCGUCGGGGAGGCGGGGUCCCGAUCUAGAACGAGGGGGCGAUGACGUCCGGUGAGGACCGGCGGCGGCGCGGGUGCAAGGCGUCGGGGGCGGCGGUUGCCACCGACGGGAUCCGCGCGGGGGAGGGAGAGAGGUGGGUGAGAUCGAGGGGAGUGGGGGAGCGAGUGGUGGAAGUGGGGGUGUGGUGGUGGAUCGGGCUAGGGUUCGAGGAGGCGUGGGGGGUUAAGCGGGGAGAGGUGGGCCGGCCGGGAUGGGCUGGCCGACUAGGCCGGCCAGUUGGCUAACUGGGCCCGUUGGCCCGGGGGUUCGUUUUCCUGUUUUUUUACAUUUUUAUAUUCUGUUUAUUUAAUCUUUCAAAUUGUUUUAGUUUUGUAAAUCAUAUAGUUAGCACCUAAAUUAGUAUUACUAAUUAGGCCACUGCCAUAAUUAUUUUGGCACACUAGUAAUUUAGUUAUAUUAUUAUAACUUUAUAAAAGGAAUUAAAUUAAUUGUUUUGCCCUAAGCUUUGGUUAUUUUAGUGAAUUUAAAUAUUAUAAGAAAUGUUGGUUUCUCCACCAUUAUUACUCAUGAAUUAUUCGGCAACACCCCAACAUUACAGUUUUAAUAUUUGAAAAUAUUUUAUUGUUUGCUUGAUUUUGAAUUUGAACUCGAACCGGUUUCGAACUAACGCGAGAUUAGCAACAGUAAUCUAGGUGACGUGGCAUCAUUAACGUGGGAUUACUAUAGCCUAAUUAUUCGGGCGUCACAAUUCGCCUCCACUACAAGAAAUCUCGUCCCGAGAUUUAAGAGGUAGUGAAAGGGGGGGAAGGUUUACUUACGAAAUUCUAACGGAUCUUCUCGGCCUUGGUUACUCUUCUCGAAGAGGUCGAUCCAUUAAGUUGAUGCCUUCAUUUCUCUUCUCCAGGUCAUUAUGAUGAAGUUGUCGUCCUUCCUUCAGGAUCUUCACCAUACUUACGAAAGGUUAAGAGGGGAAAACUCUAUAAGGACGGAUUCUAACAGGAUUGAGCAUCAGACGGUUAACUCGGGGGAAGAAGCAUAAGUAUCUCUCGAAUUGAAACUUAAGAAGAUAUCGAGAGCAAAGUAAGAAGGUACCAUGAGAAGUUUCAAAUGGAUAGGUAAUGGUUCGAUGUCUGAAACCAAGUGCGAAAGGGGUCCAGAGCAACGAGAUUAAGUAUUGCGUCUGUUACGAUAAUAGAUCACUAGGAAGGUGGCCCGUGAAUUACAUACGAGGCCACGCGCGAGGAACAACCUUGGGAACAGGGGGUGUACAGGAGAGUCAGGUUUCGAUCCUGUGGAACUGUGGGUUAUGGGCCCACAAUGUGGGUUAAAAUUAGAAAGGGGGCUGACAUGUUGCACUGUCAUGAUAGCAAGGCAUGUCGGAGGGUAGCCUGCUAGCUAUGUUGGCAACAACGUUGGUACCGAGGGCGAGGGACGAAGAGAACCAUUUUCCUGCUCGUUGAACGAGGCGGACCAAUAGGCAAGGUUCUCGUCCAUCGGUGGCUAUCGGAAUGUCAUCAACAAUAGUAACAGGGUCUUAUUGACACAGUAGUACACCGAGGUGUUUACAUAAGCAGUGAAUUAUUACUGCUUAGAUCAUAUAGAUCACAAGAAAGAUUAAAUAAAAUAAUGGAAAGGAAAAGGGUGAUCAUCAGAUUAAACAGAACAAUGGAAAGGAAAAUGUGUUUAAACACAUAUUUCAAGGGUAUAUCCUUCCCAAGGACAAGCUGAGCAUGAUAUCCAUGACAGGAUGUAAUGUAGAAAACUCUUUAGGUAGGGGAGAGAAAUUUCAUGACAUUACCCAUACAACGGUGUUUGGAUAAUUGAGCAAGAAUCAUUUAGCAUUGGGCUUCAAAUGUUCUUGUAAAAAAAUCGGAGUACCACAGACAUGCUUCGAGAUAGCAUUGGCACGGUCUUCAAGCAAAGGUCAGACUUUGGAUACAAAGGAUCCAUCAGGAAGAACUUGUAGAAUAAGUUUUACAAUUUCCUCAUGGAAGAAUGGAUAACCUUGCUAGAAGGAAGAACUAUAACAAUAGGUCCUCUGGUCAAGUGUGCUAGGCAUGACAUCACCUUACCGGGUCAUAUAAAGACCAAUGUUAUAACUCUUGAAAAUAUGCUCCAACCAUCAUAGCUGAUCGAGAUUCAGAUCUGAUCGGUGUUAGGAAACCUCAGACUCAGGAUGCCGGAGAAGAAAAGGUGCCAGCCAAAUUGACGGGAUGACACUGUAAGAUUCUCAGGAAAUGAACUAUGAAGUGAUUUCCGUUAACAAGAGUUCAUCAUUAACCCAAGGAGAGGACAAGGAGGUGGCUGAUGGGCUAAGGACAAUUCAUCGAGAUUUCCAAAAGAUGGAUUUCCACAAAUAUGUGAACAAGGAGAUAACACUUGUCAAUUCAAAUGAUAUAAUGUUGUAUGCUCUAGGAAAACAUACACCAUCAAUCAUUAGUCGAAAGGUGUGCCCGGAAUAUGACCUUAGGCAGCAAGAUCAAUGUUAGAGUGACGAUUCAAUAACCAACAGUCUAAGAACGAACUGUCGAUCGUUAACUUCAAAGCAAUAGGGUUGCUAGAAGUAUAGAACUCAAACAACAUCGUUAGCAUAUUGGUAUCCUAGUUAAAAACAACACGGGGACCAAGGAAGAAUGGUGAUGGUGAGAAGUAUCAUCAUACCGAGAAUUUCUAAGAGGUGGAGAAAUGCUCACAACAUUCUUGACAUCAAAGAUGGUAAUACUCCACGGUAGAACAUAACAUAAGUUGGAUAGCAAGGAACUCAAGGUACAACACAAAACAAGAACAAGUUUUUGUGUUGGGGGGGAAUGCAAUAAUGUUGUCGAUGAUAACCCAAACCAUCGAGGGCAAAGGAUGGUAUUUCUCAUCAAAAUUCGAUAGAUCUCUUGGAAGAGCUCAGAAUGUUGAUGAUAUUCACGACACAUUUGUCGCGAGAUUACCUAAAGAUGUAAUCGAUCGGCGAUGACAUCAAGUCAAAGGAAUGGUGAAGCGAAAGGUUAUUGGAACCAAGGGUAUGACAUAAACUCGAAACUAAGCUCGCUGUUCAAGGCGAAAUGAUAUGACGAGGAGGAUCGACGUAAGGUUAGUUCAUCAUCGAAAAUUGUGCUCCGGGAAGAAGGACCAGGUAGCACAAUUAAAAUUUAGCAUGGUAAUGAUAUAGCCGAUCAGGCUAGGGAUGUCGUGAUCGAGUACAAACUCGUAAGCAAAGAAGAUUACUAAGAGUUGUUUAAUCGCGAUGCGGACUCGAUUCAGUUAUCGAUGUCCUUGAGUGUUUAAUAACUCGAAGCCCUUGAAAAUUUGGAAUCAAUGAGAAUGUAGCACUUGAUGGAGAACUCAUAAGAAGUUAUGCAGUUCCGUGAUAAUCUCGAGAUACCAUGGGGGUAAUACUCGACGACAAACCAAAGUAGAGGUUGGACUGGGGUAUUGCUCUGCAGAAGACAAGUGCUUAAACUUGUAUGAGAAAUGGUAUUUAAAGGAGAAAAUGGUCCGAACCAUGAUUGCAAAAGGCCAGAUCCCAGAUAUAAGAUGAACUUAUACCAAGGGAAUAAUUAAUUUAAGCGAAUAUUUUAAUGAUAAGAUCUACAUCGUGUCCAUGGGCAUGAACACAAAGUUUAAGGUCGACUCCCACUUCUCUAAUGCAUAACCUUUCAUUCACUUCUCAUUUUCGAAGAAGUUGUAAUGUUGAAUUUUAUCUAGAAAAAUACCAGAAGAGUAUGACUCAUGAAAACUUUCGAGGUCACACAUAUUAAGGAAGGCCUUGGUUCAACCCAUCGGGGCAUCGUGGAAACAUAUAUCACAAACUUCAGGGGUAAAUAACUCAAGCUCGAUAGUAGAGCAUGGGUGACAAAACGAGAGGAUACAAUUUACUGAAGGCAUUGUGUAUCAAGGAAAGAACUUCUCGAGGUUUUUGUAUACGAAGACACUGUCGGAUGAUAUUCCAACAAAGGAUCCGACGGUCCAUAGCGGAGCUGAUGUGAGUAUCGGCACACAACCAGAGGAAGAAACAAUGUGAAGGCAUUGGAUUAUAGAAGCAACUGACUAAUUCAAAGCUCACAUGUAAAGGAAUUAUAGUUUCCAAAUCAAAGGAUCAGAAGCAAAUGCUCUGCUUAAGGAUGGAUAACUUGAGUAAGCUUAGGGGUACAAACGACGACAAUUUAUUUGGUCGAGAUCCAGCUCAUGUUAAAAAUGAUGUCUGAGCCGUAAGGAUGAAUUCUAGGAUAUGAUUGAGGAUUGCGAGCAUUCGCAACAUAUUGAAUCAAUGAACUCAAAAUGAUAUUUGACAAAGGAUGCCAAUAAGAUUACCAGACUUAUGGGAUUAACCAGAAUGCAAGCAAGCAAGAAUUUCAAGAGCAAGAGGAUGCUCAGGAAUUUUGGAAGAUCCAAUGGUAUUUCGAAAACUUUUGUGAAACACAUGAACAACUGGGAAAGAGCGGAUACUCGAUAAGCGCGAGGAAUUAUCCGUAAGGGAAUUCAUGAGGCAAGAACUGUAUAGCAGUAAGCUCAAAGGAUUCUUGGAACAACGGAGAGCGGUUCGGGGCAUCUUGUAUGAACAAGAUCAACUUGGAAUAAAAUUAAGAACAACGGGUGUAAGUAUUUAUCCAUAGGGAUAGAUCAGUGGUAGGGAAUUGCAAAAGCAACGAGCACAAAGUCUCGAGAACAUCGGAGAGUAUCUUCGAAAUCCUUCGGUGCACCAAGCAAUCAUCUGGAGUGAGGGGCUCUCCGGGAGGAAGUAGUUACGAGAACCUAGAGUCAGAGUUAGUAAAAUCAUUCCACCCGAAUAGAAGAGAGGUCAGAGUCCCAGAGUAUAGGUCGAGGAAUAAAAGAUCCUAAUACCACCCAAUGGCGACGUGGGCCCGUAAGCCACACAGCCAUGUUAGUAAAAGUUUAUUUAAUGACUAGACUCGACUUCGGCCAAGGAGUUGGAAAGGGGAUUCCUACAGGCAGUUGGCUCUGAUACCAACUUGUGACGCCCCCGAUUCAAUCGUACACUAAUCAUGCACGCAAACGUGUACGAUCAAGAUCAGGGACUCAUGGGAAGAUAUCACAACACAACUCUAAAACAUAAAUAAGUCAUACAAGCAUCAUAAUACAAGCCAGGGGCCUCGAGGGCUCGAAUACAAGUGCUCGAUCAUAGAUGAGUCAGCGGAAGCAACAAUAUCUGAGUACAGACAUAAGUUAAACAAGUCUGCCUUAAGAAGGCUAGCACAAACUGGGAUACAGAUCGAAAGAGGCGCAGGCCUCCUGCCUGGGAUCCUCCUAAACUACUCCUGGUCGUCGUCAGCGGCCUGAACGUAGUAGUAGGCACCUCCGGUGUAGUAGGAGUCGUCGUCGACGGUGGCGUCUGGCUCCUGGGCUCCGGCAUCUGGUUGCGACAACCAGGUAGAAGGGAAAGGGGGAAAAGAGGGAGAAAGGCAACCGUGAGUACUCAUCCAAAGUACUCGCAAGCAAGGAGCUACACUACAUAUGCAUGGGUAUAUGUGUAAAGGGCCAUAUCGGUGGACUGAACUGCAGAAUACCAGAAUAAGAGGGGGAUAGCUAAUCCUGUCGAAGACUACGCUUCUGGCCACCUCCAUCUUUCAGCAUGUAGAAGAGAGUAGAUGGUAACUUCACCAAGUAGCAUCGUAUAGCAUAAUCCUACCCGGCGAUCCCCUCCUCGUCGCCCUGUUAGAGAGCGAUCACCGGGUUAUAUCUGGCACUUGGAAGGGUGUGUUUUAUUAAGUAUCCGGUUCUAGUUGUCAUAAGGUCAAGGUACAACUCCGGGUCGUCCUUUUACCGAGGGACACAGCUAUUCGAAUAGAUAAACUUCCCUGUAGGGGUGCACCACAUAACCCAACACGCUCUAUCCCAUUUGGCCGGACACACUUUCCUGGGUCAUGCCUGGCCUUGGAAGAUCAACACGUCGCAGCCCCACCUAGGCUCAACAGAGAGGUCAGCACGCCGGUCUAAAUCCUAUGCACGCAGGGGUCUGGGCCCAUCGCCCAUUGCACAGCUGCACGUUGCGUACGCGGCCGGAAGCAGACCUAGCCCCCUUAAUACAAGCGCGAGCUUACGGUCCAAUGCGGUGCGCGCCACUCAGUCGCUGACGUCAAAAAGAGCUUCGGCUGAUACCACGACGCCGAGUGCCCAUAACUGUUCCCGCGUAGUUGGUUAGUGCGUAUAGACCAAAUGGCCAGACUCAGAUCAAAUACCAAGAUCUCGUUAAGCGUGUUAAGUAUCCGCGAACGCCGACCAGGGCCAGGCCCACCUCUCUCCUAGGUGGUCUCAACCUGCCCUGUCGCUCUGCCACAAAGUAACAGUCGGGUGCCGUUAGGAACCCAGGCCCACCUCUACCGGGAUGGAGCCACUUGUCCUUUCAGCCCCCUCAUCAGAAUCACUUGCGGGUACUCAAUGAGCUGACCCGACUUUAGUCACCACAUGUGUCAUGUAUAUAAAGUAUAUAGUAUAUACCCGUGAUCACCUCCCGAAGUGAUCACGGCCCAGUAGUAUAGCAUGGCAGACGGACAAGAGUGUAGGGCCACUGAUGGAACACUAGCAUCCUAUACUAAGCAGUAGGAUAGCAGGUAAGGGUAACAACUGUAGCAACAAUGACAGGCUAUGCAUCAGUAUAGGAUUAACCGAAAGCAGUAACAUGCUACACUACUCUAAUGCAAGCAGUAUAGAGAAGGAAUAGGCGAUAUCUGGUGAUCAAGGGGGGGGCUUGCCUGGAAGCUCCGCUGAAAGGGAAGAAGGGUCGUCGGUGACGUAGUCGAUCACAGGGACAUCAACAGCGGUCUCGGAGUCUACCGGAGAGAAGAGGGGGAAGAAACAGUAAAUACAUAGCAAGCAAGAGCAUAACAGGAUAACAGGCAGAGCUAGACGUGUUCUAACGCGGUGCUACACGAUACCGACGAAGGGGGAUAACAUCCGGGAAUGCUUUUCGAAAGUUUGGCAUUUUCGGACAGACGAACCGGAGGGGGGACGGUUGUAGGUUCGCUAUGCUAGGGACGUGUGGUGGACGAACGGACCGCGUAUUCAGAUUCGUCUCGUCGUUCUGAGCAACUUUCAUGUACAAAGUAUUUUCGUCUGACCUACGGUUUAUUUUAUAUUAAUUUCCAAAGAUUUAGCCAUGUUCUGAAAUUAUUAAAUGACUAAUUCGAAAAAUAAACAUAAAAGAGUUGGGUGCACCCGGUGCAGUGCACCCAGCAGUGCACCAGGGGCUGACAGGUGGGUUAGGUGGCCCAGUUGACCCAGUCAACAAAGACUGGUCAAGAGAGUGAAUAGUGCAUGCGGGUCCCGCAUGUCAAUGUCACAUGUGUUAUUUUAGUUUUAACAUCUUUUAGUUAGCAGCAGGGCCCGUAUGUAAUAGACACAUUAGGUUAGUUACCUAGUUAAGCCUAAAUUAAAUUAAGUUAAUUAAGUAAUUAUUAUUUAUACAUUUUCUGUUCUCUUUUUUUUGGCUUGCGGCCCAUUCGGUAGUGUCACAGAGGCCUUAGCGGGGCAGGCGCUGGAUGCGGGAGCCCGAAGGGACGAACCCAGGCGCGCGGGCGAAGGCCGCCGAGGCGCGGCGAGGCGCCGGCCAGGGCAAGCGCGGGAGGCGCGGCGUGGAGGAGGCCCGCAGGCGGCAGUAGGUGGCGAGGAGCAGCAGGGCAAGGCCGCACGCGCGGCCGGCAGCGGGCAGCAUCGCCGGUAGGGGCGGGCGCACGCAGGGGGCGCAGCCCAGGCGUAGCCGGUGCACGGACAAGCGGGGCCACGGGCGCGUCAACGGUCGCGACGAGCGCGCACGACGACUGCGGCGUCGGUGAGAAGAACGGGCGGCGUGGACAACAGCCUAAGCCGGAGAAUCAAGGAGAGGGAAGAGGAGGACGGACGGCGGCUCACCCCCGUUGCAGGGGAACACCGGCAAGGCUCGGUGGAGCCGCGGUUGAGGAGGAGAUCGAGGACGGUGAGGGUGAUGAGGACGAGGCGGCGGGACAACAUCGGGGCGAGGUGGCCUCGGUGAUCCGGCGACGUCACGCCGUCGGGGAGGCGGGGUCCCGAUCUAGAACGAUGGGGCGAUGACGUCCGGUGAGGACCGGCGGCGGCGCGGGUGCAAGGCGUCGGGGGCGGCGGUUGCCACCGACGGGAUCCGCGCGGGGGAGGGAGAGAGAGGUGGGUGAGAUCGAGGGGAGUGGGGGAGCGAGUGGUGGAAGUGGGGGUGUGGUGGUGGAUCGGGCUAGGGUUCGAGGAGGCGUGGGGGGUUAAGCGGGGAGAGGUGGGCCGGCCGGGAUGGGCUGGCCGACUGGGCCGGCCAGUUGGCUAACUGGGCCGGUUGGCCCGGGGGUUCGUUUUCCUUUUUUUACAUUUUUAUAUUAUGUUUAUUUAAUCUUUCAAAUUGUUUUAGUUUUGUAAAUCAUAUAGUUAGCACCUAAAUUAGUAUUACUAAUUAGGCCACUGCCAUAAUUAUUUUGGCACACUAGUAAUUUAGUUAUAUUAUUAUAACUUUAUAAAAGGAAUUAAAUUAAUUGUUUUGCCCUAAGCUUUGGUUAUUUUAGUGAAUUUAAAUAUUAUAAGUAAUGUUGGUUUCUCCACCAUUAUUACUCAUGAAUUAUUCGGCAACACCCCAACAUUACAGUUUUAAUAUUUGAAAAUAUUUUAUUGUUUGCUUGAUUUUGAAUUUGAACUCAAACCGGUUUCGAACUAACGCGAGAUUAGCAACAGUAAUCGAGGUGACGUGGCAUCAUUAACGUGGGAUUACUGUAGCCUAAUUAUCCGGGCGUCACACCAUUUAUGAUGAGACACUGUUAACUUGGCAGAGCCAUCUUUGUAGCAUCUUUCAUAUGGUGUCUACCUUCCAUUGCAUUGCUUCUAAUUUGGUGAAAUGUUUUCUUCUUAGUUUACACAUCAUAGUUCUGGUUAUCUCUUCCGUCCUGUUUUCAUACAUAUUACAUCCUCCUAUCAUGUGGUUGUCUAACAUCAAAGUUCAGUUCGUCUGCAUCAUGCAUCAAUUUGUUCUGAAGAACUAAAUUUUUAUUCGUUUUUCUUGUCGGCUUGACUUAACAUGGCACAGAGAAAGAGGAAGAAACACAGAAUGGCAGGGAAUGAGAAGCGGAUGAAUCCUGCAGAUUCUGCUGGUAUUGAUGGUGCAAUAGAAGGUCAAAGUCCAGCGGAAAAUUCUACAAACACGGCAUCCCAUGCUACACGAGUUGCAAAAAAAGCCAAACAGAAACAAAUAGCUGCUACCAAACAAGCAGAGACAACCCUAGUUCUUGCAACACCUACCACAGUACUACCAGCUGCACGACUUACUCGUGCGUCAACUGAGCUAGCAGCACGUUCCCAAGCUCCCUUGCCACCUGACACUACUUCCCAAGCACUCUUGACACAAGACGAGUUGGCAAUAUCAGAUGAACCUUGUGAGCUUCAACAGCAAGAAGGUAGUCGCUGGAGUCAAGUUACAAUUGCAUGCUUCUUUAUAUGUAGUCUCACAGUUUGAUGUACACUAACACUUCCUAUGUUCGUUGUUGGACUAGCACCUAGGCGCAAGAGGAAACAAACAUCAGGGAUAAUGCUCGAUAGGUUAACUAAAUCUAGAGGAGGAAGAAUGGAGAUCUGUUUUGAGGUAGGUUUAAAAAGGCCACGUGAUGCUACAGAGUCAGCCAAAUUAGUAUCAGAGGCAGCGGUUGCCGUUAGGUGUCAUGUACGUAUUCUCCCAACAUGGAUUCAGUACAGGAAUGUCAAAGACGAAACCCAGUUCAACACCUUCCUCGACCAUUUAUCUGUAAGUAUGGUUAUGUAUGGAAACUAGUAAUAUCGUCUUGCUCUGUCCCAUACUUUCUAGGUUGCUGAUAAUUAGACUCCCAUAAUUUUCAACAGAUGAGGUUCAAGUUGGAUAGCCAAGAUGAUGCAACCAGACAAGCUUGCACCCAUGUUUUCAAGUCUGCUCUGCGACAGUAUCGGUAUAACUUGAGGAAAACUCACUUUGAAGGCAAGGCUAACAGUGAACUUUCCCAAACAUCUCUAGUGGAAAAUAUAUCGGAUGAAGACUGGAGGGGCCUUGUUAAACACUGCUCUGAUCCGAAGUAUCUGGUACAUUAUAUAUUUGUGAUCAGAUCACAUGUUGAAGUCCUAUUUACGCAUGUGCCACACAAAUCUAUCUUCUUGUAGGUGAACUGUUCAAAGAACAAGGCCAACCGUACGAAAGUGAAAUUCCAACAGACGACAGGAUCUCGUAGCUAUAUUGCACACUGCGAGGCUCUUGUAAUUAGCUGAUGUUUCACUCUUUUCGCUGUACCAUAUUAUCAGAUCUAUAUUGACUUGUUCGAAAUGCAUAGGAAAGCCCGCAAGGACCAAAAAGUACCUGAACCAAAUGCUGUGGAAAUCUUCAAGGACUGUCACACCAGCAAGAAGAAGGGCAUGACUACACCAGUCAAAGCCGCUGUUGUAAGUCCUUAAUCCUCAUGCCUUUUAACUACUACUUACUCUGACUUGUGCCUUGAACUGCAUGGUUUGCAGCCAAUGUCUAUUACUCUUUUCAAUUUUAUACACAAUUGUCUUAGCGUAUCAUUGCACCUUACAAGGUUUAAAAGAGAGGAGUGAUGUUCCUUUGAUCUUGAUCCGUAAUCUAGUUCCGUGCUGGACUUGCCCACACAACGUUACAAUUGCCUGUUUGUCUGUUCUCAGUUGUUUUGUGAUAUGAAUGAUGUCAUACUAUGCUUACCGUAUUAUAAACUUUGUCUCUUUAUCCUUAGCCCUCAAUACAAUGUGAAGAAAUAGACAAUACAUUAGCGAUGGUACAUGGUCAUAUGUUUGGAACCUAGUUUUAUUAUGUACUUUGCAAUAAAAUACAACUAAUAUUUUACAUGGGUUCACCAGAAUAAGUUCUGUAUAUAUACCAAAGCUAUUUUCUUUGGUUUUGCUGCCUCCUUAAUAUCUUCUGUUCUGGUACUACUAAUGUAAAACCUCAACUUUUCAGCGAGCUAUGGAAAAAAUGGUGGAACCGCCACCUUCUGAAGGUGGCGAGGCAACUAUAACCGCAAUGUCAGCUCUUGCUGCAGUGGGUCAGUACCUGUCCACUAACAGUGCCAAAAGCACGUUCCUGCGUAAUGCUGGGUUGGUUGUAAAGGCAAUAUCAUCCAAACUGCCUCAUGAUCAAGAUAUGCAAGCUCAAAGCAAUGUUGUAUCUGCGCUCCAGACACAAGUCCAUUCCCUAACAGAGACCCUUUGUGAAACAAGGAGAAACAUUGCUCAAUGUCGUCAAGAUAUGCAUGGUUUUCAAACCAGACUAUCAGACAUUUGCUAUGUUGUUCAGGAGCCUAGGGGAAAUGAAGGCGAGGGUUAUGGUGCUCCAUCGGACAAUACAGCAUGAAAACGUAACAGUCAGGUCAAAUGAACUGAGCUUCUGAACUUCUGGUGGUGCAUUUAUCUGCUAGACUGUUAAGUUUUAUGUCAACCUUCCUUUUGUUAUAUAGUUGUAAUUUGUUUUGGUGCGAUACAAAAUUUAUUCUUAACGUGCAGCCACCGGCUGAAGAAAACAGCAAGCCAUUUUUGUAUAGUGUAGGGUGUUCCCUAUAUUUGCACUGGUGGUGAUCUUUGAUGCCGAGUGGAUGUAAUCUGUGCAAUCGCCUUAAUAGCCUAGCGUUAGUUUCGGCCUUAUUUAUUUCCUAGUCUUCUUUUUCCCUGGUUUGCUAGUGGCCGCAACUACCAUGGGCCAUAUACGGGCCGUAGGAUCCAUGGGUCUCCUACGGGCCGUCGAUAAAUGGGCCUGUAAUCGGGGGCCUCGGGCCAUCGAAUAAAUGGGUCUACAUGGGCCGUAAUCAGGCGUAAUUGGUAUCGGCCCAGCACGGUAACAGGCCGUUAACAGGCCGUAGGACAGCAAAGGCUUAAUUAUGUCACAGGCAUAACGGGUCGUUAAUGGGCCAGAAUAUAGGACGGGCUGGAAACGGCGCAACGGGUUAACAGGCCAGAAACGGGCCGACUCUUGCCAUGGGCCGAAUUUAGCCCAUUAGGGUAACAGGCCAGUAACGGGCCGACUCUUGCCAUGGGCCGAAUUUGGCCCAUUAGGGGAACAGGCCAGUAACGGGCCGACUCUUGCCAUGGGUCGAAUUUGGCCCAUUAGGGGAACAGGCCAGUAACGGGCCGGAAGUAAUCGACGGCCGAAAAGGAGCCCAAGAACGUAUGGGCCGUCAAUAGGUCGAAAGCUAACACGGGCUGGAAACGGCCCAUGUAAAUCACGGGCCGUUAACGGGUAUAAAGAAAAUUACUGUUCAUUAUGGGCUAGAGUCACCGUGGGCCUGUAAAGGGCCGAAAGAUACGAAGGCCUCAUAUGGGCCGAAAGACGUCGUGGGCCAUACAUGGGCCGAAAGUGAAAUGGGCUGGUGUUAUAUUCGACGGCCCACAUGACGUUGUUGGGCCGAUUUCCUUUAGGGCCUAACGGGCCGUGAGUUAACGGGCUAUUUGCGAAGAGACCGUUAACAGGCUUUUCAUGGGCGAGCCCGUUAACUUUUGACCAAGUCAAACGGGCCGGCUUUGUAAGCUAAAUGGGCCAGUGGUGGGCCGUGGCACGUGUCGACAUAUCAUAGGCGCCUAUCUGACCCACUGACGAGCUGACACGUGUUUCGUCCGGCCAAUAAGAAUUUUACACGUGGAAAUUUCCCAUUGGUCGGGGCUGUUAACGGGUUAUCGGAUCCAAAACCCGACCCGAUAGCUUAACGGCGUUCCGUUACGGUGGAUGCCACGUGUAUGUCACCCUUGACGAAAGCACUUCUGUGACGCGCGAUUUAUCGUCAUGGAAGUGGACACUUCCGUGAUGAUAAUUUUGGUAAUGUCAUGGAACACUUCUACGACAGCACAGGUAUGACUAUCUUGAUUCUGUCAUAAAAUCGUCAUGGAUGUACAUGCAUGACAAAAAACGCGACCUACUGUGACAAACACGUAUCAUCAUGGAAGUGCACUUUUUUUGUAGUGGAUGCCCACGCAGAGAAGAGUACGAGGAUUGAUUGGUUCAGCUGCGGGGUGAGGCUGCCGUCGCCGCAGAAUAUCAGGGGGUGUGGGUGAGUAGAGGGAUGGCCUGGCCAGCGGUGGGAGCCGUAGGGGGCGGUGAGGCCUCCGCGGCAGCACAGCCGGCCACGGGAGGCAGGAGCACGCGGCACGACCGGCGCUGGUUUGGGCGGCUGGAGCAAGAAGACCAGAGGUUGAAGAAGCACUAUGACUAUUGGAUGGACAUCGUAGGGUUACUGGAGCUAGAAUCGUUCAUAUUGACUAAGUAGACAAUCCCCUCCAUCCGCGUCAACUUAGUACGCCCACAAGUCAGCCUCCCACUAUGGUGGGUCCUAGCUAGCAAGGGGAAUAUUCAUUUUUUUGUGCGUAAUAAGGAGGCACUUCCUUGCGUAUGAAGAUAUAGCUGGUGGGUCCGAGCUGUCAGCGGGAGGAACGUUUUUUCAUGAAAUACAGAGGCCCUUCUGGUGGGUCCCAGCUGUCAGGUGGAGGAAUCAUUAUUUUGCGCGUAAUAAGGAGGCAUUUCCUUGCGUGCGGCCGUGGACCCAGCUGUCAGCCUUCCCACGUAUAGUCCUCUUCCGAUGGAUGUCGUUUGUUGACCACGUUGACCACGCCGUACCGAGAGCACCAGGGCGGUGGACGACAGCGAGGCCUAGGAACGGAACGACACGGAGCCAGGGAAGACUCGGCAGUUGUUUCCCACGCGGAGGGGAGUACGAGGGUUUACUAGUUCGUCUGCCAUUGCUGGAGAAUAACAGCAGGUGUGGGUGAGUAGAGGGAAGGCCAAGCCAGUGAUGGAAGUAGGGUGGGGCGGUGAGGCCUGCGCGGCAGUACAACUGGCCACGGUAGGAGGGAGCAGGCAGUCCCGCCGGCGCUUGUUUGAGCGGCUGGAGCAGGAAGAGCAGAGAUGGAAGAAGCACAACGGCCGUUGGAUGGACAUCCAACAGUCACUGCUCUCGUGUGUUGACUAAGUUGACACGGCGUUGCAUGUGCGUCAACCUUUUUUAGGAAAGCGUACGCGUCAACCUAUAGUAGGCGCAUAAGUCAGCCUCAAAUCUGUGGAAAACAGCAUACAACACAUCUGCCAUUAUUUCUAAUAAUUUACCGCCCAUUUGCUAAUUCUUAAGGUUUUUUCAAGCCCAUAUUCUUUUUGUUAGCAUUACAGCCCAUAAUGUGGCCACGGUUAAAAAAUUAUACGAAAUUUUGCAUAUUUUGGUGCGGUCCGAACUGUUUUUAAUCCUGAAAUUUUGAGUUACAUUCAAACUAAUUUUUAAAAUAAAUCAAUAUCAAUAUAAAAUCCAACAAAUUGUCCACGCAUAAAAAUCAAUGAAAUUUAAAAUCUCGAAAUGAAAAAAAAGAAAUUUGAAACUAAUUGUUGAUUUGAUGUGUUUUAAAAAUGCACAUCCCAUUUCUCAUUACUGAUAGCCCAUUUUAUGGGCCAGCCGAAUGAAGCUCUUCUCGUCUUGAAAGAUUUGCAGCCCAACAAGACUGACUAAGCGGCCUACUUGACAAAGCAGAAAAAACUGGGCUAGCUCUUUUCAGAAAGAAAAAAAAUACUGGGUUGGUCUUGUGGUAAACAUAAAAGAAAAGGUUGUCUAGACAGGCCACAGUGCCCCGCACAGCCCAGUUGACACCAUGCUUCCGUCUCAAAAACAAAAAUAACUGGGCGAGAUGUUGGGUCCCUGGUGUCAGCCGCUCGUUGUGCAAUUCUCUCGUUUAUUGACUACGUUGACAAUGGCAUAGGACCCAGAUGUCAUAAAUCCAUUAGGAGGAAUCUUUUUUUGCUUGAAAUAAGGAGGCACUUGCUUGCGUACUGCCAUGACCUUGGUGGGUCCCUGCUGUCAUCCUCUCCAUGUAGAAUCAUCUCCUGAUUAUGUACGCGUCAACCUAGUAGGCCCACAAGUCAGCCUCUAAACCCAUGGCGGACAAAUACAACCCAUUUAAAAAAUAAUAGCCCAUUCCAUACGUUCAAACGGAAAGUUCAACAUUCAGAGCAAAGUAACAGGUUUGAUCCAGAUAUAGAGUACUGAACUUCCACGUUGACAACCAUCAUAGCCAAGUUAACUAUCUACUCCCACUAAUACUCUAGUAGUGUACAAGUACUAACUUACUCUUAGCUAACUAGAUGAUCCCGGCCGCCAUCUGCGGUACACGCUAAACGCCGGCACCGAAGUCCUCUGCCUCGCCUCGGACUUGCCAAAGGUGCGAUAGGGCGUGUUGCUCGUGCGCGUUGGCCCUUUCCAUGCCGGCGUGGUCCACCGAAGCUUCGGCUUCUAAGCAGGAAACCCACUUGACGAGCUGGUAGUAAAAUUCGGCGUCGCGAACGCGUGCGUGCCCGAUAGCCUCCAUGGCUAUUUGCUGGGCACCGGCCUCCAUGUAGUCGGCCCAGUUGUGGGCGCUCUGCUCGUGACUCAGAGCAUCGGUGCACUGCUGUUCCACGCCCCGCUGGCGGCGCAAAUCGGCGAUACGCUGCUCCUUUGUCAGGCGGUCGCGCUCCAACAAGUCAUCAUACUCUACAUUGCCAUCUAAAAACCGAUAGAAUGCCUCCUCCCUCCGUUUGCCUUCCGGUGAAAAACCGAACACUAGUUCCGGCAGUGACCGCCUCCGGCGUCGCCUAUUACGGACGGCCGGGGGGAUGACGGACGUGGCGAGAGCGAGGAUAAGUGACGAACAACGUCGGGACGGUGGGGGCUUAUGAGGAUAGGGCGAGUUGGGUGAUGGUGCCACCGGAGAACACCGGGAACAAGUAAUUAUAGGCGGAAGGUAGGUGAACCAGCGUGUCGCGGGAAACAUGAUGGUCAUCGCGGUCAUCGGAAUUCAAUGCAUAAGCACGCAUGGCUUAGCGCGCCAGCUUGCCGUGGAAAACUGGAAAAACUGAAAUUAUGAAUGUGCCAUCCCGUCCCGUCUCGUCAGUGGUGCGUCUCGUCCGUGCUGGGUCGCACGUCGGCAUGACGGUCGAAUGAGUACGCUCGAUUCAUCGAGAUGAGGUACGUGCGUGAUCCAUUGGUUAUUCGCGUAGGAUCGAGUCGGUCGGAUGGUGUAUGUGUAGGAUCGUAAUAGCGGAUGAACGUUCUCUGGGAGAUAAGGCAUUUGCGAACGUUUUUUAUGGCGGUUUCUUCAUAUUCGCAUGGCAUUUUCUUCAGAACUGCAUGUCAGUUUCUUUAGAGGUAGGCAUUUUUAUUCAAAAAACUGCCACUUUGGAUCUUGCGUAGCAACUAAAACUGCCAGGAGCGCAUUAGUAGGUUAGCUAGUCAUCGAUCAGUAACUUGUAAACACUGAGCGAACAGAAAUAAGGAACUGUUAGUAACUUGUAAACACUGAGAACAUAGAAAUAAGGAUCAUGCUAUGCAUAGUAAUAAGAGUCGAUCCAUUCGAAAUGUUCACACGAGACUCACAUGCCUGACAUUGUAAUAUGUUCACAUUAGUAGCCCAAAUUCACAACCAACUAGUACGAUUCACAGAUCAUAUACAAAUAUGUAGCUCCAAAAGCAAAGAUCUAGAAAAAACAUAUGUUCUUCCUACUAACAUGGAUGCUUCUCUUGGCCAACAUUCAGUACAGAGUGAAAGACAAAUUUGUUUGUGAAGUCUACAAUUCCUCUUGCAAACGUAAGUGGUUUCACCAAUAGCUGGAACCAUGAGAAUGAACCACACAUGAUGGAGGAAAAUCCACUACAAUAUGAUUUGGUCUUCUCUCGAUCACACGGCGAGACUAUUUUCGGAAUACAAACUUUAACUUAGGCAAAAUGAUGCCCAUUGUAUAAUCAGACCAAAGCAAUGAAGCACCUAGUGUUGGGCAAUAAAUAGUACAGUACUACUUUUGUGCAGUUCAUGAAGUGACUAUCCAAUCUUUCUGUGUCUAUUUUCAAAUGGCACUGCAUGUAGUGACUAUACUAUUCUCUUGUGCAGUUCCACCAAAAUUAUGGUCACUUCGUUUGUUUGCCAAAUAGCAACGGGCAGACAUCUGUCUGCACAAAUAUCAAGCAGCUAGUAAACAUAUACCCCAUCUUGUAUUUUCGGUUUAAACACGUCUCUUCCGCUUAGCAUCUGUCAUGUUUUGCACUGGACAAUUUGAUACUGUCAUGUUUUUCCCUCGACAAUUUCGUACUGAAUUGAUUUGCUGGUACAGAGCAGAAAUAUAGCGCCUAUUCUUCAUCAGACCAAGGAUAUCCAUGUUCGCAGUGAUGAAAGAGGUGAAAUAGAUACAACCGAAAUUGAGUAUCCAAUCAUUGAAUCACGUCCUGCACCUCCAAUGUAGGUCCACCCAGCCAAUAAAUUCACAUGCAAACCACUAAUAUUACUAUCUAAUGACAGUACAAAAAGAGUAGCAAGAUAGUAGCAAACCAUGUACCUUCGUAAUGAACAGCUCAUAGUGCCACCAAUUGGAUAUAAAGGUUUGGAAGAAAACAUGCACCUAAUGUUGAACCAUUUGGACUUUUUGUGCCGUUCCACUAAAAUCGAGCAUCCCUGUUUGCAUAGAUAUUGAAAGUGUGAUUACUAUAAAAGUGGCACUAGUUGAAGCAUAGACUCAUAAAUAUAAGCAUUCCAAUUUCUUAAUGGGAAAAGGUAGCAAGACUGUUUCUAACCACCUGUUUGAAGGAAUAAAUAGGGCAACAACGGAUGAUUUCAGGAAGGCAUACAUAGUAUUUUCUUAAAAAUUGAACCAUUCCUAACCUUUCCUCUUCUUUUAAGCAUAUUCUUUGCAGUUCAACUAAAAUAAAAUGUCAUCACCGCCUUGACAAUUCAGUGACACUGUACAAAAAGAAAUGACUUAACAUUACAUCGUGAUGUCAGGUAUGUAAUCGACGGGCAUUAGAGACAAACAUACAGACCUCCUCCGAUAACAUAAUGAACAUUAAUUUUAACAAAGGUGUGACUAGCUUUACCGGGAUAAUUUGAGUGAACUCUACACCCUCUAUUCCUUAAUAUAAGACAUUUUCGCAAUUCAAUUUAAAGUACCCAAACGUCUAGUAUUUAGAAAAACAGGUAGUAUUUUUCUUGAGCACAUAUCUGGGAAAGCUUGCCACACUUUAUAUAUGUCCAUACGCUAAUGCAACACCAUUUGAAUAGUAUAAAUAUACACUAAUACAGUGGCUAGUGCAACAGUAGAGUAAAUUUUUAUUACGGGGUACAGUACAAUGGUUUUACCGAACAGAUUUACAUAAGCUAGCACUGGAAGAUUUCUAUAAGCAUUAACAAUACAAAAUGUAAAGGUAACAAGUUUCAGCAUUGGUAUACUAGCUGUGCAAGAGCAUUAAACCAAAUACAAAAGUCUGAAGGUAACUAGCAUUAUUAACUAAUGCCACUAUAAAAAAAUUGCAAACCAUGUACCUUCAAGGUAAAUAUCAUUUCGAACUCAAGGGGACCUCAAAAUUGCUAUCCCAAUCUUGAUAAUCGAUCAAACAUAAAAACUUGAUCGAAUGGAUCAAGAGAACAGCCGGAGGAGGAGGUGCCCACUCUUGACCUUUCCUCUUGUCUUCAUAAUUUUUUGUGCAGUUUAACCAAAAUAAAAUGACAUCAGCGCCUUGUUAUUUUUGUGACACUGUACAAAAAAAAUUGACUUAUCUCAUGAAAGUGAGGUAUGUAAUCUAUAAGCAUUAACAGUGCAAAAAUCUGAAGGUAGUAACAAAUUUCAUCGUUGGUAUACUGGCUGUGCAACAGUAUUAGAAUGCCUUAGCUGAAAAAUCUUUAAUACAUACACAACCAACAGCUAACCCUGAAAUAAUCCAGUGACAUGAAAUGGCAUUGCUUAAAUUUAUCAGUGGCAUUAGACUCAGUGCGGCAUUAGUUAAAUGUGGCAUCACUUUAGAAGUAGCAUUGCUUGACUUUACCGCUGGCGUUAUACUAACAACAAACAAGUGGCAAUAAGAGCAUGGGAGGCCCAUUCGGACAGUGGGCGCACCAGUACGAUGUACCUCCACGAACGCAUAGCUCAGAAUCAAUCCCCCGGCAAGUACCGUGCCCGUUUUGGUGCUCUAGGUGUCGGAUGUCCGGCCCGUUGGCCCGGAUGUGUGGCCCCCCGGUUGUCCGGACCACAAAUCUUGCAUCGCAAUUUGGAUCUCAAACUUGAUUUGGGGGCGGAAUUUUGUGAUUUAGGGGUCAAAAUUGAUGGGGAAAAGAAAAUUUUGGAUGGAUUUCGUGGUGGGUGGGGAAAGCCAAGAUCCACUUGUCAAACACCAAAAUCAUGGAUCACAAAAUGCAAAAAAAAUUGGUGAGGCUAUUUUUGGUGGUGAUUUUCGAAUUGGGACGAAAUCAAGCAAUAGGCUAGAAAACGGAGGUGGGGACUCCAAAUUCGUGUCAACCAAAGCUCUGAUCCAAGAUGAUGUAGGGCCAAGCCCUUGCUAGUGAUCUUGCACGAAUUGGAGGGGAAAACCACAAAGAACACGAAGAACACGGGGAAGAACGGGGAGAAAUCAUAAGAUGAACAUUCAAGAACAGGUCCAAUCAAACAUCACUAGACUCACAUCCACACAAGAUCCACGAAGGUACAUGAACAACAAAGGGAACAAAGAUACAAGGUAGAGUUCAUCCCAAAUCCUAUGAAGGAGAUGAGGUCUUGAAUCUAAGAUGGAUCUUCCCUAGAAAGGGGUCUUGAUACCCACUAGGGGGUCUUCUCACACGGAGGUCUUGAUCUCCAUGGGAGAGGUGGUAGAUGAGCAAGUGGGCGGGUAAGAGAGACAGGUUAUAUGGCAUCUUGCUCGUGGCUGCGUUACAGGCGCCGGAUGUCCAACCCGACUUGAGGCAUCGGAUGUCCGACCAGGUGGUGGUCUGAGUCAGCCUCUUCUCUAGACUCCUUUGUCCGGAUAUUGGAGGAGGCGCCGGAUGUUCGGGGGUCAUCCGUAUGUCCGGCCACUAAAGCUCUUCUGUUCCUCUUCUACACGGGCGUCGUAUGUCCGACCAUGGUCCGAAUGUCCGGUCGUUGUAACUUCCGCAACUCUGUCUUCUUCCAUCGUCGCUUCCAUGCUUCCUUCGUGGAUGGUGUAGUUGUUUCUUGGCUCUUGCACUCCUCCUCGUCAUCCAUGAUUCUUAGGUAAAACCUAUGCAUGCACAUGAGAGGAGUGUCAAAUAGUAUACCAUUCUCGAAGGGGUCAAGUGAACACGUGUAAAGGAGAUGAUCCACCUUUAUGUAUGUGAAGUAGAUGCUGCAUGUGUCACUUGCUGAACGGACUCUUGACAUGGUGAUGUUCGUAGGAUGCUCCGCAUCAUGGCGCCUCAAGCGGGCGGGGGAGCAGCCGAAAUUUAUCCUAGGAGGUGCCUCCGAUCGAGUAUAUUUGAGAGAGUUGGGCUGCCUUUUUUUGGGAUAACUCCUUAAAUAUUUGCUCCUCUAAAUGUAUAAGGGUUUGGUUAGAUGCGGUUAGUUGCUUGUUUUGCUCCAUUAAAAACAUUUUAAGGGAUGGGCUAGAGAUGCCCUAAGACAUUCAAUUUACAGAUUUAGUGGGCCGAAGAACACCUUAGAAUUAGGUGAUCCAUUAGUUCUGGUUUUUUGCGAAAAUGAUUCAGAUCUAUUAUCAAAGUUCAUCGGAAAUACAAAACAUCUCAAACAUAAUAAUAAUUACAUCGAGAUUCCGAGACCACCGAACGACCACUACCUUCAGAAGAAUGAGUCGUUGAAGCGUUGAUGUCGUUGUUCCCCUAUUGAUGACGGUUUGACCUUGGGGAUAAUAGCUGGGAAGUCUUCGUGGACGUACCCCUAAGAACCAGCGCCAUGGAGCCGCAAUCGCCGUUGUUGAAUCCUUGAAUAAAUCUGAAGCAUCUAAAACCAAAUGGCGUCACACUAUGAGAAACCCUAACCUCACGGCCCCAAGGAGAUAUCGGGAAUAUAUGCUGGAGCUUCGUCGACUACGUCUGGAUGAACGCACUCGGAUCGAAGCCUGAAAGACAAACUCGAAGAAGAAGCGUCGCCAUCUACCCGAGCGUUGCACCUGCGAUGACUAAAACCCUAGCCUAAAUUACUAACCGAAUCGAAUGCAUCAGGAUUCCCCUUCCGUCACAGGCUGCCGGAGCGACAUGCAAAGGGGAGGCGAAUCCACGGGUUCGCCGACGAAGCAUGAACGGAAGAGUUUUCCCUAACCGCCAAGGGAUAGGGGUGAGAAACAGAAACCCUAACGAUGAGCAUACACAUUGAGGGCAUCCACCGAUUCAGUUGCCACGCACAAAUCACAGAAGCAGUGAUAAAUGUUCCUCCGGUUCUUCUUGACCAUGUAUACCCUCACAUUCAGCCGACCUCAACAUGCAAGCCAAGAAAUACUCUCCAUUUUUUGGGAAUGAUGGUAGCCCGAAAAAAUCAAAGAAUAAUCUAUUUAAAUCUAUAAAAAAAUAUAACAGAUGUUUGCUGAGAUGGUACCCACUACUUUAAGGCGUCAUGGUGUCCCGAGGACACGCACAUGGUCAUGCUUCAUGAUCGUACAAGGAGCGUUCUCCGUUGUCGCUCUCGCAACUCUUUUUCUUUCUAAAAUAAAAUGUUUUCCUUGAGCCUUUGGGAUGUCCUAUAUCUGGUUGGAUGGAAAACCAAAGCAGGUGCUACGCCACCGAACUUUUAGCGGCGCAGAAGAAAUAGAGCAGAUGGAGGGAAGUUUGUUUUAUGGAGAAAUAAGGCGGUUUAAAAUUAGAAAUGCCAGAGCAUCCCCAUCCCCAGGCAAUAAUUGAGCAAGCAAAGCCUUUAAUCACUCCCUGUAAACGUGUAUCUAUAUAUUAGGAGCCCACAGCGAUUAACCCAAGGAAAGGGUACUGCUAAUAUAGAGGAGGUGGACAGGCCAGCCCCCCUCUGGCCUUGUUCUCUCCCCCCACAUGCCCUGCCCAAGGUGAUCAUUCUUCCUUCAACCAUCCAGCAAUCCAUGGAUGCUUUUAAGAUUCAGCAUGUGAAUUGAUUGCUUCUCUGUUCAUCAUUCUCCUCCGAUUUGGUUGGUUUUCUGCGAGAUUGUGAAUUGAUUCUGUCUCUCCCGGCUUUGCAUUUGGUUCUUGAUGAGAUUGUUGGGUAGAUGUUGUUUUUGGAGCCUGGAAAGAAAGAUGUGCAUCCCUCCCAUCAUUCGAUUCGAUUCGAUGACAAAAACAAAAAGGCAAUCUCAUGUGGUUAGCUAGCUUGUAUUCUACGUGUGGAGAACAUGAUGAUUCCAUGAAUCCAUCAAAAGUUGGUGCUGCAUUGGCUUCCGAUUCUUCAGAUUCUUGGCCAUUCCUGGUGUGGAGCUCUAAUCUUCCCCUUCCUGAUUGAUUCAUCAGUGCCAAAUCCAAGAAUUAGAGCUGCUCCAUUGACGGGGGAGAGAUCGACAGCAAUGGGGGAGCUGGUGGUCGCCCGGAGGUACUGGUGCCACAUGUGCGCCGCGGCGGUCAGCCCCGUGGCCGCGGACGCCGGGGUGGAGAUCAAGUGCCCGUAUUGCGGCAGCGGCUUCCUCGAGGAGAUGGAGACCGCCCGCAGCAGCGUCGCCACCGGCACCGGCCACGCCCACGCCAGCCCUAGCGCCGACAACGCCAUCUCCAUCUGGGCCCCCAUCAUCGACAGCAUGGUCGGCGACCCCGUCCGGCGCCGUCGCAGCAACCGCCGCACUGUGGACGCCGUGGCCGCCGCAGAGGACGAGCUGGACAACGUCGACUUCUCGCGACGCCGGCGGCGCGCCACCGCAUUCCUGCGGCUCCUGCAGGCGAUCCGGGAGCGCCAGCUGCAGCGCCUUGAGUCCGCGGCCGCCCUCGGCAACGGUGGCGGCCUCGAGACAGAGCACUACAGCCCAUUCGGCCGGAGCAUCUUCGCGGCCGCCCCCCUCGGGGAGCACGGCAUGGCGCUGGGGGACUACUUUCUUGGGCCCGGGCUGGACGCCCUGAUGCAGCAGCUGGCCGACAGCGACGCGGGCCGGCAGGGCACGCCGCCGGCAAAGAAGGGCGCCGUGGAGGCGCUGCCAACCGUGGAGGUGGUGGGUGGGUGCAACGAGGAGGACGCGGCGAGCUGUGCGGUGUGCCUGGAGGACUACGCGUGCGGCGAGCGCGCCCGGGAGCUGCCCUGCAGGCACAGGUUCCACUCCCAGUGCAUCGUGCCGUGGCUGGAGAUGCACAGCUCCUGCCCGGUCUGCCGGUUCCAGCUGCCCGCCGACGACGACCCAAAGAGCUCAUGCGGCAGCGGCAGUGGGAGUAGCAGCACCACCACCACCUACGUCACCUAUGUCAGUGCUGAGGUGAACGACAAUGUGGAUGGUCAUGGCAAUGAGAGUGGCGAUGAGGCAGCGGGCAAUGCGGCCGUGGAGCGCCAAGACGGCGAUGUGGAGGGUGAAGGAAACGCGAGCCGGCUGCCGGCGUCCAUACAGUGGCUCAACAGCCUCUUCUCCCCGCAGGCGGCAUCACCAUCCUCCACUUCCACUUCCGGCGGCAGCUCGCGGCACUUUGAGGACUAAAUCUGCUCUGCUCCGUUCGGAUGCCAUUGUCAUACCUACCACGAACGCAAGGGUUUGCUGCUGCGCUAAAACUUGGAGCUUUUCUCCUGUCUCUUCGUGUGAAUCGGUCAUUUGGGUGUAAUUUAAAAAGAAAAAACAAGGGUUGUACAGUUUAAAUUUGAUACAUUUUGUCAAAUAUAUGACUGAUGUUCAUCAGUUUUCAAACUCUACACGACGGUAAUCUGGGCAAAAUUGAGAAGUCUGGGCAAAAUUGACCAAACGCUUUUAUUGUAUAACAAUCAUCCUUCACCAUCUUGAGAUAAACUAGCAUGUUAGAAAUAUAACGCAAACAACAGGCAAACAGAUGAAGUGAAGCAACUAUCAGGUAGUUCAAUCGUUGCAUACAAGUUAUAGUAGUAGUAGCAAAACAAGCUGCUGCGAUAAUAGUUUUGGUGUUUCCAUGGCUAACCCCUCUCAUAAAGAAUAAACAGCCACAACUUGAUAACACAAAGUUUUAACCAGGUUGCACUGCCGUAAUCUUGGCAGCAAAAAACUGUGGGUAUGCGUAGCCUCGCAAAAAAAGGAAAAUCCCCGGGCAAAAUGGUGUUGCAUUGUCGCUGCCACUAGCUUACACGGUCAAGAGCUUGAUGACAGAUGCAUUCCCGAUGCGGUGAAGGGCCACAAUGGACUCACCAGCGUUGCAAAGCCCCAUCUCCUUGGCGUUCUUCAUGGCAAACCUCAG
RNAcentral lists this long non-coding RNA (43141 nucleotides) under Triticum aestivum (bread wheat). RNAcentral describes it as "long non-coding RNA (TAES_LNC000102)". The record is from RNAcentral. Lineage: Eukaryota; Viridiplantae; Streptophyta; Magnoliopsida; Poales; Poaceae.